GUUUUCUCAAAAUAGCAACGUGAUAAAAAGUUGAUAAUUCUCAGCGUACCAAACACAUUGAGCCUAUGAACUCGGUCGGACUUGAAGCGAUAAGAGCAGGCUCGUGAGCCAUCGCGAUUGGUCGAGCGGCUAAUUCUGCAUGGAGCAUCACGCAGAGACCGCGUGGCGCGGUGUGGACUGCGCGUGAGCAUCGCGGGGCACAGACAAUGUAAUAACAGAAAAGCAACAACACUCAGAAGGGUGGUAGAAUUUUUUUGGAACGAAGUUCCUUAUGGGACCAUGCGGAGCGGUACUGUUAUAAUAUCCGAUUACAACAUGGUCAAUAUAAAGUAAACUGCUGACCUAGCCUCAGUUGUUUACUUCGUUUCUAAGUAAUGACGCAAAUCAAAAGUUUCGUCAGCAUUCCCGUUACCACAGAAAGGCAGAUCGAUUUGAAACCUCGUUGUGGACACUUAUCUAUAACGUGACAAACUUGUACUUUCUUAUAAUAAAAUUACUUUUUUCCAGUUUCUGUAAAAAAGUGUUUUUUUUUAAAGUCUCCAUCAUCCCACCCCGUAACAGUAGAUAUCCUGACCGGGAAAAAACGUCCGUAACGUAAGAUUUUUAUUAUUUAUCUAUAGUCUUAGUGUAAUGGCUAUACGGUGUCUACGUGAUGACGGUUAUUAUAAUUAUUCAUAUAAAUAGCUGUUUCUUUGUAUUUUAUUAUUAUAUCUUUUUUUUAUAAAUCGUUGUGAAUAAAAUAAAGUUGAUAACUUAGUAAA
Molecule: long non-coding RNA, 761 nt
Organism: Bombyx mori (domestic silkworm)
Lineage: Eukaryota; Metazoa; Arthropoda; Insecta; Lepidoptera; Bombycidae
Exons: 2
Source: RefSeq, a predicted model, not a curated record